CCGCGACGCCUCCGAAGACGAAUCGUGCGGAGAAUUUAGCCGGUGUGAACGUUCGCUAACACGAGGCGUGCCGUGUUCGAUCGUGAUCGGAGACGUGCAUUUUUGCGAUGUGCAGUGGGUGAAAUUUGUUCCGCACCUUUUCUCAAGGCCGAACGAUAUUUCUUGGAGAGGAAGACGAAGGAAUCUAGCGACCUAGCCGGCAGGAUCCAUUGUUAUCUGGAGGCCAGAAACGUUAGCGGGGCAACAUCAACAGCAACAGCGACAGCAACAGCAACAGCAACAGCGACUGCGAUUGCUACAGCUACAGCUACAGCGACACCAACAUCGACAUCAUCGACAUCGACAACGGCAACUGCAACAACACCAACGAGGUUAAUGUGAAUGACAUUGGAUAAUGCAGCCAAUGAGGAGUCAAUGACGCGACUCGCUUAAGAAAAUCGUGUUGCUAGCCGAUUACCGACGAUGAUCAUCGUGGACUAUUCAAAGAGGACUAUUAUCACAAUUACUGAAAGUACGUGACCCAGUUUGAAGUGUCAUCGUCGAAUCGAUCUAAAAAAAAAAAAAAGAGAUAAUAAUAACGAAUUUGAUAAAUCGAGUCUCUCUCUCUCUCUCUCUCUCUCUCUCUAUUUCUCUCUCUUUCUCUCUCUCUCUCUCUCUCUCUCUCUGUCUCUCUAAACUUUACUAUUUUCAUCCUUUCAUUUAAUUUCCUUUUCGCGACCAAACUAUAACAGCGUAUACCCCUUCGAUUUACCCGCGCACCGUCCAUCUUCCAACUCUCACAAUCACCACCUUCCCAUCAUUUCUGUAAAUAGAAUGAUCCCGUCGGUUGUGUUUGUAAAAGAUAAAAAGGAAAUAAUAUCGUCGAGUAUCAAGCCCUUCCUUUCCAUCUGGCAUUUUUCUCUCGUGCGAUAGAAAAGAAGGAAAAAGGAGAGCAAACAAGAAAGGAAAGAAAAAACUGAAAGAAAGAAAGAAAGAAAGAAAGAAAGAGAAUAAAGGUGAGAAAGAAAGAGAAAGAAAAAGAGAAAAAGAGAAAAAGAGAAAAAGAAAGAGAGAGAGAGAGAAAGAGAGAAAGAGAGAAGGAACACGAUAGCGAACGACACGGGUUCGCGUCUAUACUCCCGAACGCGAAAAGUCAUUAGUCGUUUCUUUAUGUUCUACCGGCGAUAAACUUAUCGUGCACGAAUAGCUUCGCGAGUAAAAGGAGAACUUAGAGUUGGAGAGGUUGUGGAUGAAAGAGAGAGAGAGAGAGAGAGAGAGAGUGAGAAUGAAAGAGAAAGAUAGAUAGAUAGAAAGAAAGAGAAAGAGAGAGACGACUAGACGAAGGUGGAAUGGGUGGAUACGGUGGUGGUGUAUGUACAUUUUGGAAUUUUCCAAUUGGCAGGCACGCGUCGUCGCGUGUUACGAACGAAUUAGCGCAAAACUUUCGACUCUAACUCGACUCUAGCCGUUCGGCUUGGUUUCUUGGACAGCCGAUUUAUCCGUCGUCGCGUUACGAUUUUCUCCUCGAAAGAGUAAGAGUAAGAGAGAGAGAGAGAGAGAGAGAGAGAGACAGAGAGAGAGAGAGACAGAAAGAGAAAGAGAGAGUGUUUAACGACUUAUCUUUAAUCGGUACUUAGUCUUACUAGUCGAGUAUUGAAUUUUACAAAAAAAAAAAAAAGAAGAAGAAGAAAAAAGAACAAAAAAAUACUAAAUUCGUUCAAAGUAAUGUCUCUCGCGUCAAGUCGCCAAUUCGCGAAAAAAGAAAAAGAACGAGGAUAUAAAAAAAUAAGAAAAUAAAAAGAAGAAGAUGGAAUGAAAAGGAGAAAGAGAAAGAAGAAAAUGGAUAUAGAGAAUUAGGAAAAGAAAGAGAUAUAGGACAGGGGGGAGGGGAGGAGGAGGGGGGUGUGGGAGUGCGAGAAGACGAUGAGUGGAAAAUAACGACGGUGUUGAACGAUGUCACCGUACGAAAGUUAAAACCAAUAGAUCGAUCUAAUAAAUCCAUCGAUCGAUCGAUCGAUCUAUCCGUCUG
Vespa velutina is the source of this 2008-nucleotide long non-coding RNA. RefSeq lists it as uncharacterized. The transcript is spliced from 3 exons. Lineage: Eukaryota; Metazoa; Arthropoda; Insecta; Hymenoptera; Vespidae. The record is from RefSeq and is a predicted model, not a curated record.